RNAcentral lists this ribosomal RNA (743 nucleotides) under Leptogidium dendriscum. Its description in RNAcentral is "SSU rRNA". It matches the Rfam family "Eukaryotic small subunit ribosomal RNA", at positions 110 to 863 of the family's 1831-position model. The record is from RNAcentral. Lineage: Eukaryota; Fungi; Ascomycota; Lecanoromycetes; Peltigerales; Pannariaceae.
UUAUCGUUUAUUUGAUAGUACCUUCUACCUGGAUACCUGUGGCAAUUCUAGAGCUAAUACAUGCUAAAAACCCCGACUUCGGAAGGGGUGUAUUUAUUAGAUAAAAAACCAAUGCCCUUCGGGGCUGCCUGGUGAUUCAUAAUAACUGGACGAAUCGCAUGGCCUUGCGCCGGCGAUGGUUCAUUCAAAUUUCUGCCCUAUCAACUUUCGAUGGUAGGAUAGUGGCCUACCAUGGUUUCUACGGGUAACGGGGAAUUAGGGUUCUAUUCCGGAGAGGGAGCCUGAGAAACGGCUACCACAUCCAAGGAAGGCAGCAGGCGCGCAAAUUACCCAAUCCCGACUCGGGGAGGUAGUGACAAUAAAUACUGAUGUGGAGCUCUUUUGGGUUUCGCAAUUGGAAUGAGUACAAUCUAAACACCUUAACGAGGAACAAUUGGAGGGCAAGUCUGGUGCCAGCAGCCGCGGUAAUUCCAGCUCCAAUAGCGUAUAUUAAAGUUGUUGCAGUUAAAAAGCUCGUAGUUGAACUUGGGCUUGGUUGACCGGUCCGCCUCACCGCGUGCACUGGUUCGACCGAGCCUUUCCUUCUGGAUAAGCGCAUGCCCUUCAUUGGGUGUGUCGUGACCCAGGACUUUUACUUUGAAAAAAUUAGAGUGUUCAAAGCAGGCCUAUGCUCGGAUACAUUAGCAUGGAAAUAAUAGAAUAGGACGUGUGGUUCCUAUUUUGUUGGUUUCUAGGACCACCGU